This is a non-coding RNA of Felis catus (domestic cat), 85 nucleotides long. Lineage: Eukaryota; Metazoa; Chordata; Mammalia; Carnivora; Felidae. The record is from Rfam.
GUCUGGGUGGCUCAGUUGGUUGAGCGUCUGACUUCGGCUCAGGUCACGAUCUCCAGGUCUGUGAGUUCGAGCCCCGCGUCGGGCU